UUUUUAAACCAAUCAGAGGCGGAUGGUGGGCGGAGCAGAAUCAUCUGACCAAUCGGCGUUUGUCUACCGAGUGUGGCUUCCGUUUGUUGUCAUUGUCCAUGACUUGCGGGAUGGAAAGCAGACCAUGGGAGAAACACAAUUGGUGAAAACGGGUGAAAAUAGGAGUAAAACCAACGUUUGAAUCGUCGCUUUGAUUUGUUAGCACUGUGAGAAACUUGCUUGCUCAGUCUGGAGGUGAAAACAAACGUUGAAGCUGUGUUUGUCGAACGCGAGUAAGGGACGCUGAACACAUCUGCAGCACGAAGGUGUCAUCAUUUUGUCCAUGAUUACAGAGUCCUCGUACAAUAAAGUUCUGUGAGACCACGACAAAGAGGCCUCCAGGUGUCAUCAUUUUGUCCAUGAUUACAGAGUCCUCGUACAAUAAAGUUCUGUGAGACCACGACAAAGAGGCCUCCAGGUGUCACCACUUCGUCCAUGACGUUGUCAACGAUCACAGUCUUCGUAAGAUGAAGUUCUUUGAGACUAGGACUGAGGCCUCCAGGAGGAGAAGACGACGACAGCAGCUGAAGACCUGAAAGAAAACAAAAGUGUUACUGGCUGUUAAUUAGAUGAAAUUCCUCUGCCAUCUAAAUGCUGUAAACAGUGUUUGUUUCCUGUUAAAGUGAUAACACACUUUCCAAAGACUAAUGUUUCUCUAUUAAACAACUGCUUGUCAUACAAAAGCAGUUAAAUGAUCACAAAGACACUUAGUAGAUGUUCGUCUUUGGAAAAUGUGCUCAUAACUACAUUAGCCCUAACCAGCUCUAACAAGCGUUUCCUUGUGGUCAAAUGUCUGUCAUUAUCUUUGCUGUGAUUUGUUAAAUGUUGUCUGGAAUCAUUAAA
Molecule: long non-coding RNA, 882 nt
Organism: Lates calcarifer (barramundi perch)
Lineage: Eukaryota; Metazoa; Chordata; Actinopteri; Centropomidae
Exons: 5
Source: RefSeq, a predicted model, not a curated record